Molecule: ribosomal RNA, 759 nt
Filed under: Triticum aestivum (bread wheat)
Lineage: Eukaryota; Viridiplantae; Streptophyta; Magnoliopsida; Poales; Poaceae
Description: partial small subunit ribosomal RNA
Source: RNAcentral
AUGGGUAUCAGGGGUUUGAUGAAGUUGAUUUCGGAAGAGGCUCCAGAUGCGAAGAAGAAGUGGGAUUUAAGACAUUACUCUGGAAAAACUAUUGCCAUUGACACAAGCAUCUGCAUUCAUCAGUUUCUGGCUGUAAAUGGAGAGAUGAAAAAUCAUAACGGUCAACAAACAGGCCAUAUUCUAGGCUUACUUCAGCGAACUGCUAAAUUUUUAGAGGCUGGAAUCUAUCCAGUAUACGUUCUUGAAGGAAAACCUCCUAAAAUGAAGAAGGGAACACUUGAUGAAAGAAAAUUAAAGAGACAAUUAAAGAAACAGACUGCAGAACAUGAACCCAGAGGCAUUGCUGGGCUUCAGGCAGCUGAAGAUAUCAGGAGGACUAGUUCUGACUCUAGCGUUUCUCCACUAACAAAGAAACCAAGGGUUGACGUUGCUUCACGAGCCCACGUCAACGACAAAGAUGUACUUGAGGAUCCAAGUAAAGCUGCAAAGAUGAAAGAAUUGAUAGAAGGGACAACGAUGCUCACAAACACACACUCAAAUGAUUGUAAAAGGUUGUUUGUACUUAUCGGUGUUCCUGUCGUACAGGCUCCCGGUGAAGCAGAAGCCCAGUGCGUCCAGUUAUGCAAAGAGAGCAAGGCGCAUGCUGUUGCCUCGGAAGACUCGGACUGUCUUCCGCUCGGGGCGCCAUUACUUCUUCCGUUCUUCGGAACUUUAAGGCUGAUGGAUUUGUGGAGGAAUACAAUACCACCAAGGUGUUAA